AGCAGAGUGGCGCAGCGGCAGCGUGCUGGGCCCAAAACCCAGAGGUCGAUGGAUUGAAGCAUCCCCUGCCA
Molecule: transfer RNA, 71 nt
Filed under: Sus scrofa (pig)
Lineage: Eukaryota; Metazoa; Chordata; Mammalia; Artiodactyla; Suidae
Rfam family: tRNA
About the family: Transfer RNA (tRNA) molecules are approximately 80 nucleotides in length. Their secondary structure includes four short double-helical elements and three loops (D, anti-codon, and T loops). Further hydrogen bonds mediate the characteristic L-shaped molecular structure. tRNAs have two regions of fundamental functional importance: the anti-codon, which is responsible for specific mRNA codon recognition, and the 3' end, to which the tRNAs corresponding amino acid is attached (by aminoacyl-tRNA synthetases). tRNAs cope with the degeneracy of the genetic code in two manners: having more than one tRNA (with a specific anti-codon) for a particular amino acid; and 'wobble' base-pairing, i.e. permitting non-standard base-pairing at the 3rd anti-codon position.
Source: Rfam by way of RNAcentral